GCCGAAGUGGUGGAACUGGCAGACGCGUUGGACUCAAAAUCCAAUGAUGGCAACAUCGUGUGGGUUCGAGUCCCACCUUCGGCACCA
Molecule: transfer RNA, 87 nt
Filed under: Bacillota bacterium
Lineage: Bacteria; Bacillati; Bacillota
Also listed under: 4 other names
Description: tRNA-Leu
Rfam family: tRNA
About the family: Transfer RNA (tRNA) molecules are approximately 80 nucleotides in length. Their secondary structure includes four short double-helical elements and three loops (D, anti-codon, and T loops).
Source: RNAcentral